AUUGAACGCUGGCGGCAGGCCUAACACAUGCAAGUCGGACGGUAGCACAGAGAGCUUGCUCUCGGGUGACGAGUGGCGGACGGGUGAGUAAUGUCUGGGGAUCUGCCCGAUAGAGGGGGAUAACCACUGGAAACGGUGGCUAAUACCGCAUAACGUCGCAAGACCAAAGAGGGGGACCUUCGGGCCUCUCACUAUCGGAUGAACCCAGAUGGGAUUAGCUAGUAGGCGGGGUAACGGCCCACCUAGGCGACGAUCCCUAGCUGGUCUGAGAGGAUGACCAGCCACACUGGAACUGAGACACGGUCCAGACUCCUACGGGAGGCAGCAGUGGGGAAUAUUGCACAAUGGGCGCAAGCCUGAUGCAGCCAUGCCGCGUGUAUGAAGAAGGCCUUCGGGUUGUAAAGUACUUUCAGCGGGGAGGAAGGCCAUAAGGUUAAUAACCUUGUCGAUUGACGUUACCCGCAGAAGAAGCACCGGCUAACUCCGUGCCAGCAGCCGCCGUAA
This 504-nucleotide ribosomal RNA is filed under the name uncultured bacterium. RNAcentral's name for it is "partial 16S ribosomal RNA". It matches the Rfam family "Bacterial small subunit ribosomal RNA", at positions 30 to 523 of the family's 1533-position model. The record is from RNAcentral.